RNAcentral lists this ribosomal RNA (429 nucleotides) under bacterium. RNAcentral's name for it is "partial 16S ribosomal RNA". It matches the Rfam family "Bacterial small subunit ribosomal RNA", at positions 355 to 776 of the family's 1533-position model. The record is from RNAcentral.
UAGGGAAUCUUCGGCAAUGGGGGCAACCCUGACCGAGCAACGCCGCGUGAGUGAAGAAGGUUUUCGGAUCGUAAAGCUCUGUUGUAAGAGAAGAACGUGUGUGAGAGUGGAAAGUUCACACAGUGACGGUAACUUACCAAAAAGGGACGGCUAACUACGUGCCAGCAGCCGCGGUAAUACGUAGGUCCCGAGCGUUGUCCGGAUUUAUUGGGCGUAAAGCGAGCGCAGGCGGUUUAAUAAGUCUGAAGUUAAAGGCAGUGGCUUAACCAUUGUUCGCUUUGGAAACUGUUAAACUUGAGUGCAGAAGGGGAGAGUGGAAUUCCAUGUGUAGCGGUGAAAUGCGUAGAUAUAUGGAGGAACACCGGUGGCGAAAGCGGCUCUCUGGUCUGUAACUGACGCUGAGGCUCGAAAGCGUGGGGAGCAAACAGG